CGCGAACCGGCGGCAUGCCUACACAUGCAGUCGUACGGAGAGUGGGGCAACUCACUCUCAGUGGCAAACGGGUGAGUAACGCGUGAAUAACCUGCCUUUGAGAAGGGGAUAACUGUCCGAAAGGAUAGCUAAUACCCUAUAUUGCCUUUUGUCACUAAGGCAAAAGGUAAAAGCGAGGCUGUCAAAGGCUUCGGCUCAAAGAGGGGUUCGCGUCCUAUCAGGUAGUUGGUGGGGUAAUGGCCUACCAAGCCAAUGACGGGUAGCUGGUCUUAGAGGAUGAUCAGCCACAGUGGGACUGAGACACGGCCCGCACCCCUACGGGGGGCAGCAGUGGGAAUCGUGAGCAAUGGGCGCAAGCCUGACCCCGCAAUGCCGCGUGAGGGAAGAAGCCCUUCGGGGUGUAAACCUCUGUCAGAUGGGAAGAUGAGACUAGGGGCUAAUACCUCCUAGUCUUGACGGUACCAUCAGAGGAAGGGACGGCUAACUACGUGCCAGCAGCCGCGGUAAU
Molecule: ribosomal RNA, 508 nt
Filed under: uncultured bacterium
Lineage: Bacteria
Description: bacterial SSU rRNA
Rfam family: Bacterial small subunit ribosomal RNA
Source: RNAcentral